RNAcentral lists this ribosomal RNA (250 nucleotides) under uncultured Peptostreptococcus sp. RNAcentral describes it as "partial 16S ribosomal RNA". It matches the Rfam family "Bacterial small subunit ribosomal RNA", at positions 524 to 774 of the family's 1533-position model. Lineage: Bacteria; Bacillati; Bacillota; Clostridia; Peptostreptococcales; Peptostreptococcaceae. The record is from RNAcentral.
UACGUAGGGGGCUAGCGUUAUCCGGAUUUACUGGGCGUAAAGGGUGCGUAGGUGGUCUUUCAAGUCGGUGGUUAAAGGCUACGGCUCAACCGUAGUUAGCCUCCGAAACUGGAAGACUUGAGUGCAGGAGAGGAAAGUGGAAUUCCCAGUGUAGCGGUGAAAUGCGUAGAUAUUGGGAGGAACACCAGUAGCGAAGGCGGCUUUCUGGACUGCAACUGACACUGAGGCACGAAAGCGUGGGUAGCAAACA